RNAcentral lists this unclassified non-coding RNA (336 nucleotides) under soil metagenome. RNAcentral's name for it is "partial contains 5.8S ribosomal RNA, internal transcribed spacer 2, and large subunit ribosomal RNA". The stretch from base 1 to 120 matches the Rfam family "5.8S ribosomal RNA", at positions 35 to 154 of the family's 154-position model. The record is from RNAcentral.
GAUGAAGAACGUAGCGAAAUGCGAUAAGUAAGGUGAAUUGCAGAAUUCAGUGAAUCAUCGAAUCUUUGAACGCACAUUGCGCCCGCCAGUAUUCUGGCGGGCAUGCCUGUUCGAGCGUCAUUUCAACCAUCAAGCCCCCGGCUUGUGUUGGGGACCUGCGGCUGCCGCAGGCCCUGAAAAGCAGUGGCGGGCUCGCUGUCACACCGAGCGUAGUAGCAUACAUCUCGCUCUGGGCGUGCUGCGGGUUCCGGCCGUUAAACCACCUUCAUAACCCAAGGUUGACCUCGGAUCAGGUAGGAAGACCCGCUGAACUUAAGCAUAUCAAUAAGCGGAGGA